Molecule: unclassified non-coding RNA, 980 nt
Filed under: Zea mays
Lineage: Eukaryota; Viridiplantae; Streptophyta; Magnoliopsida; Poales; Poaceae
Description: misc RNA Zm00001eb394020
Source: RNAcentral
ACGAGCUUGGCUUUGCUCCCUCCGCCGCCGCCGCCACAGUCGACACUUGAGCGGCGGCCGCCUCUGCCUCGGCCUCGAGGCGCUUCUUGUUUCGCUCGAGCGCCUCGCCGACCUCUUUGGGCAUGUACUUCUCGUCGUGCUUGGCGAGCACCUCGGUGCCGCGCAAGAAGCACGAGCACUCCCGGGCCUUCUCGGCCACCUUCCUCCCGUCGUCGCGGCGGAGGUCGUCGGUGAGGGGCUUGAGGAGCCCCUCAACGACGACGGAGUGUCCCUCGCGGAAGAGGUCAGGCAGCGCGCCCUCGUACCGGACCAGCACGUCGGUGAUGAGGUCCGUGACGACGAACUCGAUCUCGGGAGAGGAUGGCGAGGGGUGCACGACGGAGCCCUCGAGGACGAGACCGCCGAGGCGGACGCGGGGCUUGGAGGGAUCGGCGGUGAAUUUGGCGAGCGCGUCGGUGGGCGUGACGUAGAAGACGAGCUGGUCCUGGAACGUGGCGAGCACGGUGACCACGAACCCGGCCGUGCAGGCGAAGGCGAGCCCGUAAGACCAGAGGCGGCGCGUCUGCAGCUGUCGCGCGCGGGCGCCGAUGUCCGCGGCGCGGGGGCGGGAGGAGGGCCCCGCCCGCCGCGCGCCCGAGGCGAAGCUGCGGAGGAAGGGGCCGAGCGGGGUGGUGGUGGCGGCGGCUGCCGCGCGCGGGGUGGGGAUGGGUCCCGGUGUGUGGAGGAGGGUGGAGAGGAGGCGGCUGCGGGAGGGGAGGAGCCGCGAGAAAGCCAUGGGAUCGGGUCCGGUCGGGGUCUGGUGGGAUCUAGAGGCUAAAGACUGCGGAAGGACCGGAGGCGGAAGGGGAAAGGCGUGGGCCGGGCGCGACGGUCGGCUUGUUGCGCACGGCACGGCGCACGCCGGCGUGGGCCGCGCGGGGGUCUGGCAACCGUGUGGUCAGCGGCUCGAGCUAGCUCUCAGCACACGCGCUACUGUGGCG